This 1322-nucleotide unclassified non-coding RNA is filed under the name Hevea brasiliensis (rubber tree). The record is from RNAcentral. Lineage: Eukaryota; Viridiplantae; Streptophyta; Magnoliopsida; Malpighiales; Euphorbiaceae.
UGGAGAUAAAAAGGGACUGUGAAAAAAAAAUAAUCAAGAAAACAUUUUGACCCAAAAAAAUUGAACUUUUCAAGAAAAUAUUUUGAUGGGUCAUCGUGGAUUUUCAUCUUCAAUGCUAGUCUUCUUAAUCUUGAUUCUUAUUGGGGUUCCAAUAUCAUCAUCAGUCCCCUUCAUUGUUCUCCAUGGAAUUGGAGAUCAGUGUUCGCAUCGUGGAGUCAAACGAUUUACAAAGGAGCUAAGUGAAUGGUCAAAAUCUGAAGGAUAUUGCUUGGAAAUUGGAAAUGGAUCAUGGGACUCCUGGUUUAUGACCUUAGAGGAUCAGGCUGAUGUAGUGUGUAGCAAGGUUAAGAAAAUGAAAGAACUCCAAGAUGGUUACAACAUAGUUGGUCUAUCACAGGGUAACCUAAUAGGCCGAGCUGUUGUGGAAUACUGUGAGGGAGGACCACAGGUUAAGAAUUUGAUUUCCUUAGGAGGACCUCAUGCUGGCACUGCCUCAGUUCCUCUCUGUGGUUCUGGCAUUUUUUGCAUAAUUGCUGAUAAUUUAAUCAAGUCAGAGAUAUACUCUGAUUUUGUCCAGGCUCACUUGGCUCCUAGUGGGUAUCUCAAGCUUCCAAAUAAUAUUCCUGGGUACAUGAAAAGCUGCCGGUUUCUCCCAAAGCUUAACAAUGAAAUCCCCAGUCAUAGAAAUUCCACAUAUAAGAAACGGUUCAGCAGCUUGGAGAAUCUUGUCCUUAUCAUGUUUGAACAUGAUACUGUUUUGAUACCAAAGGAGACUUCAUGGUUUGGAUACUAUCCAGAUGGGGCCUUUGAACCUAUUUUGCCAGCACAGAAGACUCAGCUGUAUACUGAGGAUUGGAUCGGUUUGAAAACCUUGGACGAUGCUGGGAAGGUGAAAUAUGUCAAAGUAGCCGGGAAUCACCUCCAAAUUUCUUCCAGAGAUAUGAAAAAGCAUGUUGUUCCAUACUUGGCAGGGAAUGCAUCAACAGACGGGAGCUUCUCAAACGUGCAACGCAUGGUGGCAUUACAUGAUUUGCAAGACGAUGCAUCAAGUGUUUUUACUUUUGAAGGUUCAUCAUCUUAUAAAUGGCCUGAACCUGUCAAUACCUUCUUCGCGGAACUACUUGGCUUGACCAUAGAUCAACGGUCUAUUGACGCUUGAUUUGGUUGUUUGAUAGUAGAUGACCACGAUAUACAACUUCAUUGAAAUAUAUUAUGGCUUGGCUUUGAUUGGAAGCUUUAUGUUGUCUUGUUGACUCUGUAUGUGCCAAAAUAUUCAAACUCUUGCAAAAAAGAUGUACUAAUAUCAGAUAGCGUUGUUAGCA